AUGGUAUGGGCCCCAUGGUGGAGAUGUGGGGUUAUGGUAUGGGCCCCAUGGUGGAGAUGUGGGGUUAUGGUAUGGGCCCCAUGGUGGAGAUGUGGGGUUAUGGUAUGGGCCCCAUGGUGGAGAUGUGGGGUUAUGGUGUUUGUGGUAUGGGCCCCAUGGUGGAGAUGGGGUUAUGGUAUGGGCCCCAUGGUGGAGGUGGGGAUAUGGUAUGGGCCCCAUGGUGGAGCAACACUAUGUCAACUAAACAGGAUCUGAUUGGAUCGAGCCCUGGGUUUUUCUGAUUUAAAAACUAAAAUAAUUGUGUGACUUCCAGCUGUUUUUAAAUCGACAUGCACCACAGCAGGUAAUUGUUCCAUCUGUUUUCUAUGUAAAUAUCAACCCCCCACAAAAUAAGUUACUGGAAGUGUAGCUACUGAUGGUCAGAUCACUGGACAAGUUACUGGAAGUGUA
Molecule: long non-coding RNA, 450 nt
Filed under: Salmo salar (Atlantic salmon)
Lineage: Eukaryota; Metazoa; Chordata; Actinopteri; Salmoniformes; Salmonidae
Description: lncRNA (ENSSSAG00000105908.1)
Source: RNAcentral